GCCUCCGUAGCUCAGCUGGAUAGAGCAUCGGCCUUCUAAUCCGACGGUCACAGGUUCGAAUCCUGUCGGGGGCGCCC
Molecule: transfer RNA, 77 nt
Filed under: Nocardioidaceae bacterium Broad-1
Lineage: Bacteria; Bacillati; Actinomycetota; Actinomycetes; Propionibacteriales; Nocardioidaceae
Description: tRNA-Arg
Rfam family: tRNA
About the family: Transfer RNA (tRNA) molecules are approximately 80 nucleotides in length. Their secondary structure includes four short double-helical elements and three loops (D, anti-codon, and T loops).
Source: RNAcentral